Long non-coding RNA from Hippoglossus stenolepis (Pacific halibut), 1125 nucleotides. RefSeq lists it as uncharacterized. The record is from RefSeq and is a predicted model, not a curated record. The transcript is spliced from 3 exons. NCBI's taxonomy places the organism in Eukaryota, Metazoa, Chordata, Actinopteri, Pleuronectiformes, Pleuronectidae.
GAAAGAACAGUCAGAUUGUUGUCUGGAGCCUUUGUCACAUCUUCAGAGAAAUCAAGUGAAUUCACCACCUACGUUGAAAACAGCUGAACCUGUUGUCUUCAACUACCAAGGAUUCAUCGUGGUUCUCUCAGAACACUGUAUCCUCCCAGGAAUUCAUUUGAAAUAGCACCAGAUGAUCAUCAGCAGCUUUUCCAGAAAGUGACUACAGCCACAGAAACACCUUGGUCCCAAAUCAGCAACAACCCUGGGUCUUUAUCCAGAGUCCAGGAUGCUGCAGAAUCUACAACAUCGUCUAACCAGCUGCAGACAGACCGGUCCAGCUGCCAGACUCCCUCUCUAUCCUGUCCUCUGCCUUGCUUUGUCGUAUUGAACUUGAAUCAACAGAAUGUCAAACUCAUGUCUCGUCUUUAUCGAGACACAGAAUGUUAAGUUAUCUGCAUGUUGAAGUUUGUGUGCAGACCAUUGUCAGACCAAAAUGUCAAAACCUAUUCAUAUUCAAAUGCAUGUUAGUAGUUCAUAGUCUCUCUAUAAUGCACUAAUGUUUACAGGGAUUGAGAAGUGAGGAAUCUGAUACAAAGAUAAAUGACUUGCUGUUAAGGAGUGGUGUUUACAGCCAUGGUGUUUACUCACCAUGGCUGUUUUAUAAACGUUGGUCUAAAUCUGUGAUUCUCUUAUGCUGCCUCUUUAGAAGCCUCCAGUCCCAUGCAAACUGUUUGCACUUAAAUCAAGCAGCCAUAUUAAACAGUCAUGUAGACAAGAAUGUAUAAAAUGGUAUCACAUGUAAAUGCUACCUCAAAUGUAAACUUACGUAAAGGCACUGAGACAGUAGUUUUAUCCCACCUCUGCCAGUGCACCUUCACUCAGCAACUAUUUCCCUCUUUUUGCUUUGCGAGUGGUAUUCUUUGAUUUACAGUCAGACUCCAGACUCUUCAUGAUCUCCAGGGGCUUCAGCUCGAAAACACUCCCUACGUUUAUUCAGUUCAGGACUGCACCACCAGGGAGGAAAGGACCCGGGACCUGCUGUGUGCCAUAAAGAGGCAGACUCUACCUCACACAUGUGAGGUAAGAUUUUUUUUCUGUUCACUUGCUUUACUGUGUAUCACUAGUUUUUACUUUUACUUUCCU